AUACAGAGGUCUCAAGCGUUGUUCGGAUUCAUUGGGCGUAAAGGGUGCGUAGGCUGUAUGGUAAGUCAGAUGUGAAAUGUUAGGGCUCAACCCUGAAACUGCAUCCGAUACUGCCGUGCUAGAGAAUUGGAGAGGAGAUUGGAAUUCAUGGUGUAGCAGUGAAAUGCGUAGAUAUCAUGAGGAAGACCAGUGGCGAAGGCGAAUCUCUGGACAAAUCCUGACGCUGAGGCACGAAGGCUAGGGUAGCGAACGGGAUUAGAAACCCUAGUAGUCC
This 274-nucleotide ribosomal RNA is filed under the name uncultured bacterium. Its description in RNAcentral is "partial 16S ribosomal RNA". It matches the Rfam family "Bacterial small subunit ribosomal RNA", at positions 523 to 796 of the family's 1533-position model. The record is from RNAcentral.